This 253-nucleotide ribosomal RNA is filed under the name uncultured bacterium. Its description in RNAcentral is "partial 16S ribosomal RNA". It matches the Rfam family "Bacterial small subunit ribosomal RNA", at positions 524 to 776 of the family's 1533-position model. The record is from RNAcentral.
UACAGAGGUCCCAAGCGUUACUCGGAAUUACUGGGCGUAAAGCGUGCGUAGGUGGUGAGUUAAGUCUGUCGUGAAAGCCCCGGGCUCAACCUGGGAAUGGCGAUGGAUACUGGCUCGCUAGAGUGCGGUAGAGGAGAGUGGAAUUCCCGGUGUAGCAGUGAAAUGCGUAGAGAUCGGGAGGAACAUCAGUUGCGAAGGCGGCUCUCUGGACCAGCACUGACACUGAGGCACGAAAGCCAGGGGAGCGAACGGG